RNAcentral lists this ribosomal RNA (253 nucleotides) under uncultured bacterium. RNAcentral's name for it is "partial 16S ribosomal RNA". It matches the Rfam family "Bacterial small subunit ribosomal RNA", at positions 524 to 776 of the family's 1533-position model. The record is from RNAcentral.
UACGGAGGGGGUUAGCGUUGUUCGGAAUUACUGGGCGUAAAGCGCGCGUAGGCGGACCAGAAAGUUGGGGGUGAAAUCCCGGGGCUCAACCCCGGAACGGCCUCCAAAACUCCUGGUCUUGAGUUCGAGAGAGGUGAGUGGAAUUCCGAGUGUAGAGGUGAAAUUCGUAGAUAUUCGGAGGAACACCAGUGGCGAAGGCGGCUCACUGGCUCGACACUGACGCUGAGGUGCGAAAGUGUGGGGAGCAAACAGG